This is a long non-coding RNA of Chelonia mydas (Green sea turtle), 1426 nucleotides long. RefSeq lists it as uncharacterized. The transcript is spliced from 3 exons. The record is from RefSeq and is a predicted model, not a curated record. Lineage: Eukaryota; Metazoa; Chordata; Testudines; Cheloniidae.
GGGACUAGGGAGCCCCAUGCACAAGGGAGCUGAAACGCCUGUUCCAGAACAUUGCAGGCUGGCCAGUGACUCUCCUGCCAGAGCUUCCGGAGGCACAUCCAGCCACUUACCCAGUGCACACACAGGAGGGAGCAGCUUAGGCUGGGACGCACCCGCAGGCUGGAGGGCGAAGAUUUUUGGUGCCGGAACAAUCUGUAUAGUAUGGGGGUGCUGAGAGCCAUUGAACCAAACUGUAAACCUUGCAUAUAACGGAAACCACUUCAAGCCAGGGAGUGCAGCAGCACCCUGAGUUCCAGCACCUAUGCCUUCAGGAAACAGGCAGAGCUUCCAUGAGGCACUGGUGGACAUUUUGGCAACGUUUUCUGACCCACCAAAGGUGUGUGACAGAGCUUCGGAUGGAGCAGGAGGAGGAGGAAGAGCAACCUGGCAUGGCAGACUCGCACUAGCUGGUGCUGCUUGUUACACUCCGUAUAGCCACUGAAGCCCCUAUGAAGACUGGUGCUUCUGGUGCUGGGCCACAAGCACAGACUGGUGGGAUCACAUUGUCACAGGGACUUGGGAUGACCAGCAGUGGGUUCAGAACUUUUGCAUGAAGAAGCUACAUUUCUGGAGCUCUGUGAGCAGCUUGCCCCAACCCUUCAGCAUAAAGGCAUGAGAGCACCUUUGCCAGUUCAGAAGCAGGUUGCUGUCUGGAAGCUGGCUACCCCAGACUGCUACUGGUCCGUGGUCAAGCAGUUUGGUGUUGGAAAGAUGACAGUGUGUACAGUGGUGGUAGAGGUUUGGUGGCAGUUUGGUGGCAAUCAAGGGUUUGGUUUACUCCAAGGUGGCGGGCAUAUAAAGAUAUUCCUGAGGUAAUUGCUGGCUUUGAGCGAAUGGGGUUUUCAAACUGCGCCAGGGCCAUUGGUGGGACUUGUGUGUCCAUAGUUUGCCGUUUUCAAGAAGCACGAGUACAUAAACUGCAAAGAGGACUACUCCAUUGUUAUGCACAUUGUGAACCGUAGAGAUCAAUUUAUGAAUGUCAAUGUGAGUUGCACUGGAAAGUUCAUGAUGCCAGGGUUUUCAAUGGGGCUAAUUGAUUUGGGGAGGGUUCAGAGAAAAGGGGAGUUGGCUGCCAUGCAAUGUAGUUAUGAAUGACAUGACAACUUAUGAAAUGGGGGAGAGGUUGAUUCAGAGUAUGGAUUUAUAUAAGGAAGUAAUUGAAAAGUGGAUUGCUAUACCUAACUGUACAGAGGAAUAGUGUUUGCUUACUAAUUCCUAAUUGUUCCUGAUCAGUAUUUGAAAUAAUAAAGCUAAACACGUGAUUGUAUGAUGAGAUGCAGUGGUAGCAAUAAACUUUCUUGAUGACAUAAAAAUCUUUAUUUGUAAACAUGUGUUAAUACAAUAUAACAGUCACCCAUUGCCAGGCAGGCCAGCUGCCCUUACAACA